Peromyscus leucopus (white-footed mouse) is the source of this 1338-nucleotide long non-coding RNA. RefSeq lists it as uncharacterized. Lineage: Eukaryota; Metazoa; Chordata; Mammalia; Rodentia; Cricetidae. The transcript is spliced from 2 exons. The record is from RefSeq and is a predicted model, not a curated record.
GCUAAUAAAUUUAUAUUGUCUUAAAGGGACAACAGUAAGAGACUACCUGAAAAAAAAAAUGUUUUCCUGAAAACCUGGAGCAUUCUGAACACACAGGUCUGCUUUCCUCAUCCUCACACGAUGCAGUUUCUGCAGGUUCAAAGCCAUCCUCCCCGAUGGGCUGAUAUGAGGCUUUUGAACACAUUACUUCACAGAAUGCAGCUGCUGCAUCCAAGUUAUGUGAAGACAUUGUCAUUGAUGUCCCAGAAGAGCAGGAACCUCCCGAUACAAGCCAACAUCAAGACUUGGAAGACACAGUUGCUUCACAGGAUACACUUUCUGAGGCCAAGCUAUCUGAAGAUGUCAUGACUGAUAUCCCAGAAGAGCAGAAGGAGCCCCCAACCCAUCAAUUUUCUUAAAGGUUCCACAAUCCUCUUUGUGUGUAGGCUCAAGAUCUGGACAGUUCAAAAUAAUUUAGAAAUAUUUUACCAAGAAAAUGCAAAAGAUGUAAAUCUUGGCUUGUGAUGUUUUGAAGUGGAAAAAAUUUUUAAAAAUGAAUAUAAUCUGGAGUAUAUUUUAAAAAAUAGACAUCCUGAGUAACUUUGAUCAUGUUAGUUUGAAAACUAGAUUUGAGACCAAAGAUGUUGGAUAUUUUUGUGGCUGUUGUAGGAUUUCAUUGUCUGCAUUGAAAUGUUCCUUGCGGCCACUGCCCAUCAUUAUUCGUUCUCCUAUAAUCCCUAUAUGCGAGAGGCAGAGGAAUUCUCUUGCUUUGGCUCUCCUGGCUAUGUGGGAUGUGUCAGAUUUCAGAGAUGAUAUUUCUGAACAAAUAAGACGUGUGGGGAGAACAAUGCGAGUGUAUCAGAAAAAAAAGUUUCCCUGAAGACCCAGAACAUAGUGAACACACAAGUCUGCUUUCCUCAUCGUCACAAGAUGCAGUUUCUGCAGGUUCAAAGCCAUGCUCAGCCGUGGGCCAAUAUCAGGCCUUUGCACGCACGAUUACUUCACAGAAUGCAGCUGCUGCAUCCAAGUUAUGUGAAGACAUUGUCAUUGAUGUCCCAGAAGAGCAGGAACCUCCUGAUACAAGCCAACAUCAAGACUUGGAAGACACAGUUGCUUCACAGGAUACACUUUCUGAGGCCAAGCUAUCUGAAGAUGUCAUGACUGAUAUCCCAGAAGAGCAGAAGGAGCCCCCAACCCAUCAAUGGAUUCUUAAAGCCCUUAGAGCCAAUCCUUAUCCCGAAGUUACGGAUCCGGCUUGCCGACUUCCCUUACCUACAUUGUUCCAACAUGCCAGAGGCUGUUCACCUUGGAGACCUGCUGCGGAUAUGGGUACGGCCCGGCGCGAGAUUUACACCCUCU